RNAcentral lists this ribosomal RNA (117 nucleotides) under Oreochromis niloticus (Nile tilapia). The record is from RNAcentral. Lineage: Eukaryota; Metazoa; Chordata; Actinopteri; Cichliformes; Cichlidae.
GCUUACGGCCAUACCACCCUGAACACCCCGAUCUCGUCUGAUCUCGGAAGCUAACAGGGUCGGGCCUGGUCAGUACUUGGAUGGGAGACCGCCUGGGAAUACCAGGUGCUGUAAGCU